CUGGCGGCGUGCUUAACACAUGCAAGUCGAACGAAGAUACUUAAAAUGAGAGCUUCGGCAGGAUUUUUAUUUAUCUUAGUGGCGGACGGGUGAGUAACGUGUGGGCAACCUGCCCUAUACUGGGGAAUAAUCACUGGAAACGGUGACUAAUACCGCAUGUCAUUACGGAAGGGCAUCCUUCUGUAAGAAAAGGAGUAAUUCGGUAUAGGAUGGGCCCGCAUCUGAUUAGCUAGUUGGUGAGAUAACAGCCCACCAAGGCGACGAUCAGUAGCCGACCUGAGAGGGUGAUCGGCCACAUUGGGACUGAGACACGGCCCAAACUCCUACGGGAGGCAGCAGUGGGGAAUAUUGCACAAUGGGGGGAACCCUGAUGCAGCAACGCCGCGUGAAGGAAGAAGGUUUUCGGAUCGUAAACUUCUAUCAACAGGGACGAAGAAAGUGACGGUACCUGAAUAAGAAGCCCCGGCUAACUACGUGCCAGCAGCCGCGGUAAUACGUAGGGGGCAAGCGUUAUCCGGAAUUACUGGGUGUAAAGGGAGCGUAGGCGGCACGCCAAGCCAGAUGUGAAAGCCCGAGGCUUAACCUCGCGGAUUGCAUUUGGAACUGGCGAGCUAGAGUACAGGAGAGGAAAGCGGAAUUCCUAGUGUAGCGGUGAAAUGCGUAGAUAUUAGGAAGAACACCAGUGGCGAAGGCGGCUUUCUGGACUGAAACUGACGCUGAGGCUCGAAAGCGUGGGGAGCAAACAGGAUUAGAUACCCUGGUAGUC
Molecule: ribosomal RNA, 766 nt
Filed under: uncultured organism
Description: SSU rRNA
Rfam family: Bacterial small subunit ribosomal RNA
Source: RNAcentral